GACAGAGCAGGAUUGUUUGGUGAAUCAGGUGUUUCUCUGCCAGGCUGGAAUGGAGCCCUUUACCUGCACAAACCCUUCACAGGAGCUGAAGAGUGAACGGGUGGGGCAGGUCUGGAGCUGACUCAUUAAGCAGGGGGUGAUUGUGCGCUAACGUGCUACGCUAACGUGCUGUGCCAUUAUUAUGCCCUGAAUACGCGGCUCACACCACCAGCCAUGUAGAGGAGGAGAGAGAAAUUACAGGUGGAGGGGUCUGUGCUUUUAAGUGGCAGAGAAGGUAAACUGGUGCUAAAUGAAGACCUUGGAGUUGUUUUCCUCUGGGCGGCCAAUGAAAAUGAAAACUUGUCCUGGACUGUCGAACGCUGCCAGGAAAGAGGACGCACGCUUAUCUCCCUCAUUAGUGCCGGUGUGCAUGCGCGUGUGGGGGAAGCAGGUUUUCCAGGUAUACGGACGAGACUUUGAAACAUGCUGUGAUGGUGGCAAGGUCUGAGAAACGGGUUCUCUGCUCAUAUUACUGUAAAAGCCCGGCUUUAAAAGAGCGAGUUUGAAAACCACCGCAGUGGAAAUUAACCAGUGGACAAACUUUACUGUACUUUAAAAUAGUUUAGUUUUUUUAAAUCAUGAAAGUCUAUGAAAAAUACGGCACAGGAUUGUCUGUGCAGCUGUGUGUGUGGACAGGUGUGGGUACCAUGUGUGUGGUAACCAUAAAAUGAUUUUUGAAAGUUAUGCUCAGAGGAAGUGGAGUGAGUUUUCAGUGUUGGUGUCAAA
Long non-coding RNA from Anguilla anguilla (European eel), 765 nucleotides. RefSeq lists it as uncharacterized. NCBI's taxonomy places the organism in Eukaryota, Metazoa, Chordata, Actinopteri, Anguilliformes, Anguillidae. The transcript has 3 exons. The record is from RefSeq and is a predicted model, not a curated record.